Molecule: ribosomal RNA, 301 nt
Filed under: uncultured bacterium
Lineage: Bacteria
Description: partial 16S ribosomal RNA
Rfam family: Bacterial small subunit ribosomal RNA
Source: RNAcentral
CAGCCGCCGCGGUAAUACGUAGGGUGCGAGCGUUAAUCGGAAUUACUGGGCGUAAAGCGUGCGCAGGCGGUUGUGUAAGACAGGUGUGAAAUCCCCGGGCUUAACCUGGGAACUGCGCUUGUGACUGCACAGCUAGAGUAUGGCAGAGGGGGGUGGAAUUCCACGUGUAGCAGUGAAAUGCGUAGAGAUGUGGAGGAACACCGAUGGCGAAGGCAGCCCCUUGGGCCAAUACUGACGCUCAUGCACGAAAGCGUGGGGAGCAAACAGGAUUAGAUACCCGCGUAGUCCCUGUCUCUUAUAC